RNAcentral lists this long non-coding RNA (879 nucleotides) under Homo sapiens (human). RNAcentral describes it as "VIPR1 antisense RNA 1". The record is from RNAcentral. Lineage: Eukaryota; Metazoa; Chordata; Mammalia; Primates; Hominidae.
AAGGACUGUGCUCCCAAUCCGCUUACGCUCAAGGAAGAACUGCCUGGAAGCCCUCCCUGGUACCAUACCCCAGCCGAUGAGUAUGUACCCCCAGAAGUACUUCCGCUCAGAGAAGAAGGAGACGGCAAGCAGGGUGUACAGGAAGGCCCAGAACCAGCCUGCUGUCAGGAUCAGAACAAAAGAGGAGGACUGCAUAUGUAUGGACCCACUCCAGAUGGCACGGGGACGGGGGGAGUAGGAAAAGUGGCAUGAUGAGGAAAUGGAGGCACAGACUGAUUAGAAAACCAGCUCAAGGUCAUGUUGCUGGGUUACUCAGGCUGAAAUGCUCAAGACACUCUGUCUCAAGGGAUUUGUGGCUGUUUCAUCCUCAAGUAUAGGGGGAAUAGUGGCCAGGAAGAUCUCAGAGGUGGCUUCUGGAAGAGGAAUCUGGGUACUGGCUACCCUGCCUUGUGUCCCAUCAUUGGUCUGUCUUGCCUGUCUUGGAGCACAUUUCUCACCAAGAAAUACUUCUAAGGGGCCAGGCGUGGUGACUCAUGCUUGUAAUUCCAAGCACUUUGGGAGGCUGAGGCAGGUGGAUCACCUGAAGCCAGGAGUUCAAGAGCAGCCUGGCCAACAUGGCGAAACCCUGUCUCUACUAAAAAUACAAAAUUUAGCCAGGCAUGGUGGCGGGAGCCUGUAAUCUCAGCUCCUAGGGAGGCUGAGCCAGAAGAAUCGCUUAAACCUGGAAGCUGGAGGUUGCAGUGAGCCAAGAUCACACCACCACACUCCAGCCUGGGUGACAGAGCAAGACUCCAUCUCAAAAAGAAAAAAAAGAAAAAAAGGAAAUACUUCUAAGUUAUGUGAGAGAGUACAUACUGACAUUUUCAAUGGGUACAAUAA